RNAcentral lists this ribosomal RNA (1140 nucleotides) under uncultured fungus. RNAcentral describes it as "eukaryotic LSU rRNA". The stretch from base 512 to 1140 matches the Rfam family "Eukaryotic large subunit ribosomal RNA", at positions 1 to 649 of the family's 3401-position model. The record is from RNAcentral. Lineage: Eukaryota; Fungi.
AAGUCGUAACAAGGUUUCCGUAGGUGAACCUGCGGAAGGAUCAUUACAGAGUUCAUGCCCUAACGGGUAGAUCUCCCACCCUUGAAUACUAUACCUUAGUUGCUUUGGCAGGCCGUGGAAACACCACGGGCUCCGGCCUGUGCGUGCCUGCCAGAGGAAACAAACUCUGUUUUUAGUGAUGUCUGAGUACUAUAUAAUAGUUAAAACUUUCAACAACGGAUCUCUUGGUUCUGGCAUCGAUGAAGAACGCAGCGAAAUGCGAUAAGUAAUGUGAAUUGCAGAAUUCAGUGAAUCAUCGAAUCUUUGAACGCACAUUGCGCCCUGUGGUAUUCCGCAGGGCAUGCCUGUUCGAGCGUCAUUUCAACCAAUCAAGCCUAGGCUUGGUCUUGGGGUAUACGGGUCUCCGUAGCCUCUAAAAUCAGUGGCGGUGCUGGUUAGCUCUGAGCGUAGUAAUACUCCUCGCUAUAGAGUCUAGGUAGUGUCUUGCCAACAACCCCCCAUUUUUUCAGGUUGACCUCGGAUCAGGUAGGGAUACCCGCUGAACUUAAGCAUAUCAAUAAGCGGAGGAAAAGAAACCAACAGGGAUUACCUCAGUAACGGCGAGUGAAGCGGUAACAGCUCAAAUUUGAAAUCUGCCAACAGGCCGAGUUGUAAUUUGUAGAAGAUGCUUUGGGUAUGGCCCCGGUCUAAGUUCGUUGGAACACGACGUCAUAGAGGGUGAGAAUCCCGUAUGUGACUGGGUGCUUUUGCCUAUGUAAAGCUCUUUCGACGAGUCGAGUUGUUUGGGAAUGCAGCUCAAAAUGGGUGGUAUAUUUCAUCUAAAGCUAAAUAUUGGCCAGAGACCGAUAGCGCACAAGUAGAGUGAUCGAAAGAUGAAAAGCACUUUGGAAAGAGAGUUAAACAGUACGUGAAAUUGUUGAAAGGGAAGCGCUUGCAACCAGACUUGCACGCUGUCGAUCAUCCAGGCUUCUGUCUGGUGCACUCGGCAGUGUUCAGGCCAGCAUCGGUUUCGGUGGUGGGAUAAAGGCCUUGGGAAUGUAGCUUCUUUCGGGGAGUGUUAUAGCCCUCGGUGCAAUGCCGCCUACCGGGACCGAGGACCGCGCUUCGGCUAGGAUGCUGGCGUAAUGGUUGUAAGCGACC